CCUACGGGUGGCUGCAGUGGGGAAUAUUGGACAAUGGGGGCAACCCUGAUCCAGCCAUGCCGCGUGUGUGAAGAAGGCCCUCGGGUUGUAAAGCACUUUCAGUGAGGAAGAACGCCUGGUGGUUAAUACCCAUCAGGAAAGACAUCACUCACAGAAGAAGCACCGGCUAACUCCGUGCCAGCAGCCGCGGUAAUACGGAGGGUGCGAGCGUUAAUCGGAAUUACUGGGCGUAAAGCGCGCGUAGGUGGCUUGAUAAGCCGGUUGUGAAAGCCCCGGGCUCAACCUGGGAACGGCAUCCGGAACUGUCAAGCUAGAGUGCAGGAGAGGAAGGUAGAAUUCCCGGUGUAGCGGUGAAAUGCGCAGAGAUCGGGAGGAAUACCAGUGGCGAAGGCGGCCUUCUGGACUGACACUGACACUGAGGUGCGAAAGCGUGGGUAGCAAACAGGAUUAGAUACCCGAGUAGUC
RNAcentral lists this ribosomal RNA (465 nucleotides) under Vreelandella stevensii. RNAcentral describes it as "partial 16S ribosomal RNA". It matches the Rfam family "Bacterial small subunit ribosomal RNA", at positions 338 to 795 of the family's 1533-position model. Lineage: Bacteria; Pseudomonadati; Pseudomonadota; Gammaproteobacteria; Oceanospirillales; Halomonadaceae. The record is from RNAcentral.